CCUACGGGAGGCAGCAGUGAGGAAUAUUGGUCAAUGGACGAGAGUCUGAACCAGCCAAGUAGCGUGAAGGAUGACUGCCCUAUGGGUUGUAAACUUCUUUUAUACGGGAAUAAAGUGAUCCACGUGUGGAUUUUUGUAUGUACCGUAUGAAUAAGGAUCGGCUAACUCCGUGCCAGCAGCCGCGGUAAUACGGAGGAUCCGAGCGUUAUCCGGAUUUAUUGGGUUUAAAGGGAGCGUAGGCGGAUUGUUAAGUCAGUUGUGAAAGUUUGCGGCUCAACCGUAAAAUUGCAGUUGAUACUGGCAGUCUUGAGUGCAGUAGAGGUGGGCGGAAUUCGUGGUGUAGCGGUGAAAUGCUUAGAUAUCACGAAGAACUCCGAUUGCGAAGGCAGCACACUAAGCCGUAACUGACGUUCAUGCUCGAAAG
RNAcentral lists this ribosomal RNA (424 nucleotides) under uncultured Fusobacterium sp. Its description in RNAcentral is "bacterial SSU rRNA". It matches the Rfam family "Bacterial small subunit ribosomal RNA", at positions 338 to 759 of the family's 1533-position model. Lineage: Bacteria; Fusobacteriati; Fusobacteriota; Fusobacteriia; Fusobacteriales; Fusobacteriaceae. The record is from RNAcentral.